Non-coding RNA from Knufia fluminis, 145 nucleotides. The record is from the annotation of a GenBank genome assembly. Lineage: Eukaryota; Fungi; Ascomycota; Eurotiomycetes; Chaetothyriales; Trichomeriaceae.
GGCUGGAUAGUUCAGGUAAAUUUCGACCUUCCCAAUUGACUCGCCCCCAAACUAACAGGAUUGAAGUGGUAGAAUUCUUGCUUUGGGUACUCCUAGAGAUGAUUCUGAUUGUAAGAGGUCCUGGGUUCAAAUCCCAGUUCAGCCC